UACAGAGGUCCCAAGCGUUAGGCGGAAUUACUGGGCGUAAAGCGCGUGUAGGCGGCUAAGUAAGUCGGGCGUGAAAUCCCACGGCUCAACCGUGGAAGUGCACUCGAAACUGCAUAGCUAGAGUCCUGGAGAGGAAGGUGGAAUGCUUGGUGUAGAGGUGAAAUUCGUAGAUAUCAAGCGGAACACCGGUGGCGAAGGCGGCCUUCUGGACAGUGACUGACGCUGAGACGCGAAAGCGUGGGGAGCAAACAGG
Molecule: ribosomal RNA, 253 nt
Filed under: uncultured bacterium
Lineage: Bacteria
Description: partial 16S ribosomal RNA
Rfam family: Bacterial small subunit ribosomal RNA
Source: RNAcentral